CAGCCCUUGACAUGGCAGGACGACUUCCGGAGACGGAUUUCUUCACUUCGGUGACCUGCACACAGGUGCUGCAUGGCUGUCGUCAGCUCGUGUCGUGAGAUGUUGGGUUAAGUCCCGCAACGAGCGCAACCCUCGCCUCUAGUUGCCAUCAUUCAGUUGGGCACUCUAGAGGGACUGCCGGUGAUAAGCCGAGAGGAAGGUGGGGAUGACGUCAAGUCCUCAUGGCCCUUACGGGCUGGGCUACACACGUGCUACAAUGGCGGUGACAAUGGGCAGCUAACCCGCGAGGGUGAGCUAAUCUCCAAAAGCCGUCUCAGUUCGGAUUGCACUCUGCAACUCGAGUGCAUGAAGUUGGAAUCGCUAGUAAUCGUGGAUCAGAAUGCCACGGUGAAUACGUUCCC
Molecule: ribosomal RNA, 401 nt
Filed under: uncultured bacterium
Lineage: Bacteria
Description: bacterial SSU rRNA
Rfam family: Bacterial small subunit ribosomal RNA
Source: RNAcentral